Small nuclear RNA from Chiloscyllium plagiosum (whitespotted bambooshark), 103 nucleotides. NCBI's taxonomy places the organism in Eukaryota, Metazoa, Chordata, Chondrichthyes, Orectolobiformes, Hemiscylliidae. The record is from RefSeq and is a predicted model, not a curated record.
ACUAACUUCGGCAGCAGAUGCUAAAAUGGGAGCAAUACAGAGAUGAUUAGCAUGGUCCCUGUGCAAGAAUGCCAUGGAAAUUCAUGAUGUUCCACCUCCCUGA